RNAcentral lists this ribosomal RNA (253 nucleotides) under uncultured bacterium. Its description in RNAcentral is "partial 16S ribosomal RNA". It matches the Rfam family "Bacterial small subunit ribosomal RNA", at positions 524 to 776 of the family's 1533-position model. The record is from RNAcentral.
UACAGAGGUCUCAAGCGUUGUUCGGAUUCAUUGGGCGUAAAGGGUGCGUAGGUGGCGCUGUAAGUCGGGUGUGAAAUUUCGGAGCUUAACUCCGAAACUGCAUUCGAUACUGCGGUGCUUGAGGACUGGAGAGGAGACUGGAAUUCAUGGUGUAGCAGUGAAAUGCGUAGAGAUCAUGAGGAAGACCAGUGGCGAAAGCGGCGCACUGGACCAUAACUGACGCUGAUGCGCGAAAGCUAGGGGAGCAAACAGG